This 329-nucleotide unclassified non-coding RNA is filed under the name soil metagenome. RNAcentral's name for it is "partial contains 5.8S ribosomal RNA, internal transcribed spacer 2, and large subunit ribosomal RNA". The stretch from base 1 to 120 matches the Rfam family "5.8S ribosomal RNA", at positions 35 to 154 of the family's 154-position model. The record is from RNAcentral.
GAUGAAGAACGUAGCGAAAUGCGAUAAGUAGUGUGAAUUGCAGAAUUCAGUGAAUCAUCGAAUCUUUGAACGCACAUUGCGCCCCUUGGUAUCCCGAGGGGCAUGCCUGUUCGAGCGUCAUUUCACCACUCAAGCCUGGCUUGGUGUUGGGCGACGUCCCCUUUGGGGACGCGUCUCGAAACGCUCGGCGGCGUGGCACCGGCUUUAAGCGUAGCAGAAUCUUUCGCUUUGGAAGUCGGGGCCCCGUCUGCCGGAAGACCUACUCGCAAGGUUGACCUCGGAUCAGGCAGGGAUACCCGCUGAACUUAAGCAUAUCAAUAAGCGGAGGA